CCGGUGACCAAGGCGAUCCUGGUGGCCCUCUUCAUCUUCGCCAUCCUCCUCAUCCUCUACGUGAUCCUCUGGUACAUCUGCCGCGAUGUGGACUGUGACCACGGCAUCUGAGCGCCGCGGACCCCCGGGGUCGCCAGGCGGGGGGCGCCCCCAGCGCCAGGGCCAUGGGGACUGAGCCGUCCCGCGGUGCCCCCCCAGCUCGGCGCCCGCGCCCCCUACUCCGGGCCCCACCGCCCGCCCUGCACCUCCACCGCCUCCUGGCCUUGACCUUCAGGGACGCACCGGGGAGAGCGGGGCCCCUAAAGUGAUGGAGUGGCUGUGGAGUCUUCAGUUUGCCUGCAUGCCAGGUGCAAGCCAAGGAGUUGCAAGAGCAUCCCCCUCAUAAGCUACCAGUAGGCCAGGACUCCAGUGUGGAGGGAUGGAUCUCUGAAGGUCACAGCUUGGCCCUUCUCUGAAGAACGUCCACCAGCAUGUCAGCCCAGCUGCACUGCAGGAGUGAAGGGUGAGAUGACUGUCACUAAGGAUAAAGGCCAUCUUCCCCACCCGUCACUCAUUCUGCCAAGCCAUCACUGGGCAACCAGGACUCAUGGGCAGUGUCACCUCUGGGGCCAUGCUGGCAUCUGUAACCUCCAUCCAUCCUUGUGGUCCCAUCCAGCCAUCUCUGCCCCCUUGCCUGGCCCAUUCUGUUGUGAAGUUUUCGUCCGCCUUGCUCUUGUGCAGAGUCGGAAUUCACAGGGGUUCCAAUGCCCAAGGGAAGCCCGUUGGAACUGUUUACUCUUAUUACUGGCUAGAGACGUCCACAGGACAAAUCAGCUUCAGAUUAUACCGUCGUUAGAGUAGGUGCAACUGGGGGGCUUGCCCUACUUAACUCUCCAAUGCAAUCCAUGCUGCCAGCUUCAUACAGACUCCAUCCAGUGCAAAUGGCUUCCUUCUGUGUGCAGAGCAAAUGCUCCAGGGAAGAGAUACAGAGGAUUCCCCAUCAUCAUUGUUGCCAGGUGACCCCAAAUAUUCCUAUCCUGUCUGUUGUAAAAAGGAAAAAUCAUGUCUUGGAAGAACAGCAUCGCCCUACAGAUACAGACUAGGCACUUUGCACAUGAAACAAGAGUCCCAGAAAUUUCUAGAAGCAAAUCUCGCAUUCGUGACCGCCAGACCUACGGGAUGUGUAAGGCACAUUCUCAAUCUCAUCACUUGUGAGAGUUGCAUUGCCUAGUCCAGCAGCCGUGAAGGACUCUCUGCUGUUUUUCCUCUGCUUCAUUUGACACAUGAGAGUGAAGAGAUGAAGAUGGAGGCGGGCCCUGCCCCAGGGACAUGUAUAUCUCUCUGAAUGUCCUUGACAGACAGCAGCAGCCCAGCAACGCCCAGCCCCCAUCCUGUCUGUAUGCACCCGGUGAGCAUUUUCUACAGUCUCCUAAACGCUCCCAUUAUUCUGUUUUGCAGGUGUGAUGUGUGGCACCUCAGUGUUGUCAUAGCUUCUGCCUCCUCCGUGUGGAGAGAGGGCAUAAAGACAGAGCUGAGAUAUUAUGGCUAUUCCAGAAAAUAAAAUAUUUUUUGAAACCAC
Molecule: long non-coding RNA, 1558 nt
Filed under: Pan troglodytes (chimpanzee)
Lineage: Eukaryota; Metazoa; Chordata; Mammalia; Primates; Hominidae
Description: long non-coding RNA NONPTRT018416
Source: RNAcentral